UGAGGAACAUGACCUUCGGCGGGGGAUAGCCGGCCCAACGGCCGGGUAAUACCGCGUACGACCUUCCGGGGACAUCCCUGGAUGGUGAAAGCAGCAAUGCGCCGAUGGAGUGCCUCGCGGCCUAUCAGCUAGUUGGUGAGGUAACGGCUCACCAAGGCGACGACGGGUAGCUGGUCUGAGAGGAUGGCCAGCCACAGUUGGGACUGAGACCACGGCCCAGACCUCCGUACGGGAGCAG
This 238-nucleotide ribosomal RNA is filed under the name uncultured bacterium. RNAcentral describes it as "partial 16S ribosomal RNA". It matches the Rfam family "Bacterial small subunit ribosomal RNA", at positions 118 to 347 of the family's 1533-position model. The record is from RNAcentral.